AGCGGCGGACGGGUGAAUAACGCGUGGGUAACCUGCCUCAUACAGGGGGAUAACAGUUAGAAAUGACUGCUAAUACCGCAUAAGACCACAGCACCGCAUGGUGCGGGGGUAAAAACUCCGGUGGUAUGAGAUGGACCCGCGUCUGAUUAGCUGGUUGGUAAGGUAACGGCUUACCAAGGCGACGAUCAGUAGCCGACCUGAGAGGGUGACCGGCCACAUUGGGACUGAGACACGGCCCAA
This 240-nucleotide ribosomal RNA is filed under the name uncultured bacterium. RNAcentral's name for it is "partial 16S ribosomal RNA". It matches the Rfam family "Bacterial small subunit ribosomal RNA", at positions 94 to 334 of the family's 1533-position model. The record is from RNAcentral.